UUUUCCUCGUGUACCAAAUUGUUGCUAUUAUCAUUCUAAAUUUCUGCAUCUUGCGCACCUCCAAAAACCAGGCUACAGAGAGCUAAGGCAUAAUGAGGAUCGUUGGUAUCUUUGUAUUUUUCAACAUGCCAAAGCAGCACUAAUUGUCACAUUUAAGCAAGAUACAGUAUUAGGGGUUGCUUAAAACACUUGUGGAUGUAAAGCAGAUGAAUCUUUAAACUUUUAAUCUCAGUAAAUUACUCUCAGUGAACAAGCAAGAGAGGCCAACUUGAGGAGCAUGCACACUGUGAUACCCUCAGUGUGGCAGAGAUGUGGAAGAGUGUUUUGGGGCUGUGCAUCAAGGGGCACGAAAAAGGAACUUCAUUGGAUGGCAAAGAUGGCAAAGAUCCUGCCCUGACCCAUAGAUGGAGGAGACAACCCACCAAAGGUUUCUUUUCCGAUGUGUUCUCCUCCAGCCAGUGAAUUUUGUUUCACAGACCAGUGAAAGAAAAAUUAAAAUGAAAAAGGAAAAUGAAGAAGUUAAUGAUACCAGAUUUCAGCGAAGGUAAUAUAAUGAUCUUAAAUAACUUUUUUCUUUUUUUUUUUUGGUUAUACAGUAAAGCUAUU
This 606-nucleotide long non-coding RNA is filed under the name Junco hyemalis (dark-eyed junco). RNAcentral describes it as "lncRNA (ENSJHYG00000007112.1)". The record is from RNAcentral. Lineage: Eukaryota; Metazoa; Chordata; Aves; Passeriformes; Passerellidae.